GACGAACGCUGGCGGCGUGGAUUAGGCAUGCAAGUCGGACGGUAGGGCUUUAUCGUAAGAUAGAGUUUGAGAGUGGCGAACGGGUGAGUAACACGUAGGAAUCUACCCUUAAGACGGGGACAACCCAGGGAAACUUGGGCUAAUACCGGAUGAGAGUGCGAGAGAUUGCAUUUAAAAGGAUGGCGAAAGUUGUCGCUUAGGGAUGAGCCUGCGGUCUAUUAGUUAGUUGGUGAGGUAAGAGCUCACCAAGGCGAUGAUCUUUAGCUGGUUUGAGAGGAUGAUCAGCCACACUGGAACUGAGAUACGGUCCAGACUCCUACGGGAGGCAGCAGUAGGGAAUAUUCCACAAUGGGCGAAAGCCUGAUGGAGCAACGCCGCGUGCAGGAUGAAGGCCUUCGGGUCGUAAACUGCUUUUAUAUGUGAAGAAUAUGACGGUAGCAUAUGAAUAAGCCUCGGCUAACUCCGUGCCAGCAGCCGCGGUAAGAUACG
RNAcentral lists this ribosomal RNA (489 nucleotides) under uncultured bacterium. RNAcentral's name for it is "bacterial SSU rRNA". It matches the Rfam family "Bacterial small subunit ribosomal RNA", at positions 28 to 527 of the family's 1533-position model. The record is from RNAcentral.